This 74-nucleotide transfer RNA is filed under the name Rhodopirellula baltica SH 1. It matches the Rfam family "tRNA". Rfam says of the family: Transfer RNA (tRNA) molecules are approximately 80 nucleotides in length. Their secondary structure includes four short double-helical elements and three loops (D, anti-codon, and T loops). Further hydrogen bonds mediate the characteristic L-shaped molecular structure. tRNAs have two regions of fundamental functional importance: the anti-codon, which is responsible for specific mRNA codon recognition, and the 3' end, to which the tRNAs corresponding amino acid is attached (by aminoacyl-tRNA synthetases). tRNAs cope with the degeneracy of the genetic code in two manners: having more than one tRNA (with a specific anti-codon) for a particular amino acid; and 'wobble' base-pairing, i.e. permitting non-standard base-pairing at the 3rd anti-codon position. Lineage: Bacteria; Pseudomonadati; Planctomycetota; Planctomycetia; Pirellulales; Pirellulaceae. The record is from Rfam by way of RNAcentral.
CGGGGCAUGGCUCAGCCUGGUAGAACGCUGCGUUCGGGACGCAGAGGUCGCUGGUUCAAAUCCUGUCGCCCCGA